UACGUAGGGUGCGAGCGUUAAUCGGAAUUACUGGGCGUAAAGCGCGCGUAGGUGGUUCAGUAAGUUGGAAGUGAAAUCCCCGGGCUCAACCUGGGAACUGCUUUCAAAACUGCCGAGCUAGAGUACGGUAGAGGGUGGUGGAAUUUCCUGUGUAGCGGUGAAAUGCGUAGAUAUGCGGAGGAACACCAGUGGCGAAGGCGACUCGCUGGACAAGUAUUGACGCUGAGGUGCGAAAGCGUGGGGAGCAAACAGG
RNAcentral lists this ribosomal RNA (253 nucleotides) under uncultured bacterium. RNAcentral describes it as "partial 16S ribosomal RNA". It matches the Rfam family "Bacterial small subunit ribosomal RNA", at positions 524 to 776 of the family's 1533-position model. The record is from RNAcentral.